Molecule: ribosomal RNA, 257 nt
Filed under: uncultured prokaryote
Description: partial 16S ribosomal RNA
Rfam family: Bacterial small subunit ribosomal RNA
Source: RNAcentral
ACAGAGACCUCAAGCGUUAUCCGGAAUCAUUGGGCGUAAAGCGUACCGAUAGGUGGUUUUGCAAGUCAGAGGUGAAAUCUCAAGGCUCAACUUUGAGACUGUCCUUUGAAACUGCACAACUAGAGGGGCAAAGAGGAAGCUGGAACGAACGGUGUAGUAGUGAAAUGCGUUGAUAUCGUUCGGAACACCAAUAGCGUAGGCAGGCUUCUGGGUGCCACCUGACACUGCUAGGACGAAAGCGUGGGGAGCGAAUGGGA